Varroa destructor (honeybee mite) is the source of this 747-nucleotide long non-coding RNA. NCBI's taxonomy places the organism in Eukaryota, Metazoa, Arthropoda, Arachnida, Mesostigmata, Varroidae. The record is from RefSeq and is a predicted model, not a curated record.
AAGGCCAAUUGAAAUUUUUGCCACAGGGAACUGCGGCUACGCCAGUAACAAUAGUACUAGAGGGCCUCGAUACAGCAGGCUGCACUGCACCCCCUACCUACAGAUCAACGAAGGGCUUACCGAAAACCUACUAUCAUCGACGGGUAGCCUUCCACCCAUUACGACAAAUUUUGUUGCUAGUGGUGAUUUGGUUUCAAAAUCGGUGCAUGAAAUGGAAACGAAAUAAAGUACCGUGAAAGGCCAAUUGAAAUUUUUGCCACAGGGAACUGCGGCUACGCCAGUAACAAUAGUACUCGUGUACAAGGGCCUCGAUACAGCAGGCUGCACUGCAUCCCCUACCUACAGAUCAACGAAGGGCUUACCGAAAACCUACUAUCAUCGACGGGUAGCCUUCCAACCAUUACGACAAAUUUUGUUGCUAGUGGUGAUUUGGUUUCAAAAUCGGUGCAUGAAAUGGAAACGAAAUAAAGUACCGUGAAAGGCCAAUUGAAAUUUUUGCCACAGGGAACUGCGGCUACGCCAGUAACAAUAGUACUAGAGGGCCUCGAUACAGCAGGCUGCACUGCACCCCCUACCUACAGAUCAACGAAGGGCUUACCGAAAACCUACUAUCAUCGACGGGUAGCCUUCCACCCAUUACGACAAAUUUUGUUGCUAGUUGCAAACUAAGGCUGCGUCACCACGCUACGCUUAAGCAGUCUCGGACCUCACAACCAAAAACUACUUACCUCGGUCUCUAAUCAAUUU